Molecule: ribosomal RNA, 1201 nt
Filed under: Escherichia coli
Lineage: Bacteria; Pseudomonadati; Pseudomonadota; Gammaproteobacteria; Enterobacterales; Enterobacteriaceae
Description: partial 23S ribosomal RNA
Rfam family: Bacterial large subunit ribosomal RNA
Source: RNAcentral
CCGUGUACGUACAAGCAGUGGGAGCACGCUUAGGCGUGUGACUGCGUACCUUUUGUAUAAUGGGUCAGCGACUUAUAUUCUGUAGCAAGGUUAACCGAAUAGGGGAGCCGAAGGGAAACCGAGUCUUAACUGGGCGUUAAGUUGCAGGGUAUAGACCCGAAACCCGGUGAUCUAGCCAUGGGCAGGUUGAAGGUUGGGUAACACUAACUGGAGGACCGAACCGACUAAUGUUGAAAAAUUAGCGGAUGACUUGUGGCUGGGGGUGAAAGGCCAAUCAAACCGGGAGAUAGCUGGUUCUCCCCGAAAGCUAUUUAGGUAGCGCCUCGUGAAUUCAUCUCCGGGGGUAGAGCACUGUUUCGGCAAGGGGGUCAUCCCGACUUACCAACCCGAUGCAAACUGCGAAUACCGGAGAAUGUUAUCACGGGAGACACACGGCGGGUGCUAACGUCCGUCGUGAAGAGGGAAACAACCCAGACCGCCAGCUAAGGUCCCAAAGUCAUGGUUAAGUGGGAAACGAUGUGGGAAGGCCCAGACAGCCAGGAUGUUGGCUUAGAAGCAGCCAUCAUUUAAAGAAAGCGUAAUAGCUCACUGGUCGAGUCGGCCUGCGCGGAAGAUGUAACGGGGCUAAACCAUGCACCGAAGCUGCGGCAGCGACGCUGAUGCGUUGUUGGGUAGGGGAGCGUUCUGUAAGCCUGUGAAGGUGUGCUGUGAGGCAUGCUGGAGGUAUCAGAAGUGCGAAUGCUGACAUAAGUAACGAUAAAGCGGGUGAAAAGCCCGCUCGCCGGAAGACCAAGGGUUCCUGUCCAACGUUAAUCGGGGCAGGGUGAGUCGACCCCUAAGGCGAGGCCGAAAGGCGUAGUCGAUGGGAAACAGGUUAAUAUUCCUGUACUUGGUGUUACUGCGAAGGGGGGACGGAGAAGGCUAUGUUGGCCGGGCGACGGUUGUCCCGGUUUAAGCGUGUAGGCUGGUUUUCCAGGCAAAUCCGGAAAAUCAAGGCUGAGGCGUGAUGACGAGGCACUACGGUGCUGAAGCAACAAAUGCCCUGCUUCCAGGAAAAGCCUCUAAGCAUCAGGUAACAUCAAAUCGUACCCCAAACCGACACAGGUGGUCAGGUAGAGAAUACCAAGGCGCUUGAGAGAACUCGGGUGAAGGAACUAGGCAAAAUGGUGCCGUAACUUCGGGAGAAGGCACGCUGAUAUGU